RNAcentral lists this ribosomal RNA (463 nucleotides) under uncultured bacterium. RNAcentral describes it as "bacterial SSU rRNA". It matches the Rfam family "Bacterial small subunit ribosomal RNA", at positions 29 to 487 of the family's 1533-position model. The record is from RNAcentral.
AGCGAACGCUGGCAGUAUGCUUAACACAUGCAAGUCGAACGAAAGUAGCAAUACUUUAGUGGCAAACGGGUGAGUAAUGCAUAGGAAUCUACCUUGUAGCGGGGGACAACCACUGGAAACGGUGGCUAAUACCGCAUAAGCCGGAAACGGGAAAGGCAUCAUUAGUUUGUUAUUUAUGUUCAUUAUGGAUAUGAAUAACUGACUAAGAUGUCACUAUAAGAGGAGCCUAUGUCUGAUUAGCUAGUUGGUAGGGUAAAGGCCUACCAAGGCUAUGAUCAGUAGCCGGUCUGAGAGGAUGAUCGGCCACACUGGAACUGAGACACGGUCCAGACUCCUACGGGAGGCAGCAGUGGGGAAUAUUGGACAAUGGGCGAAAGCCUGAUCCAGCAAUACUGCGUGAAUGAUGAAGGCCCUCUGGGUUGUAAAAUUCUUUAUCAGGAGAUAAUGACGGUACCUGAUGAAU